Molecule: ribosomal RNA, 498 nt
Filed under: uncultured bacterium
Lineage: Bacteria
Description: partial 16S ribosomal RNA
Rfam family: Bacterial small subunit ribosomal RNA
Source: RNAcentral
AUUGAACGCUGGCGGCAUGCCUAACACAUGCAAGUCGAACGCUACUUGAGGGGCAACUCUUAAGUGGAGUGGCGGACGGGUGAGUAAUACGUAGGAAUCUGCCUUAGAGUGGGGGAUAACCUGUCGAAAGACGGGCUAAUACCGCAUAACCUCUACGGAGCAAAGGAGGCUAGCAAUAGCUUUCGCUUUAAGAUGAGCCUACGUCGGAUUAGCUAGUUGGUAGGGUAAAGGCCUACCAAGGCAACGAUCCGUAGCUGGUCUGAGAGGACGAUCAGCCACACUGGAACUGAGACACGGUCCAGACUCCUACGGGAGGCAGCAGUGGGGAAUAUUGGACAAUGGGGGAAACCCUGAUCCAGCAAUGCCGCGUGUGCGAUGAAGGCCUGCGGGUUGUAAAGCACUUUCGGUGGGGAAGAAAUACUCAAAUUUAAUACAUUUGAGAGCUGACAUUACCCAAAGAAGAAGCACCGGCAAACUCUGUGCCAGCAGCCGCCGUAA